This 165-nucleotide ribosomal RNA is filed under the name Leptopyrum fumarioides. RNAcentral's name for it is "5.8S ribosomal RNA". It matches the Rfam family "5.8S ribosomal RNA". Rfam says of the family: 5.8S ribosomal RNA (5.8S rRNA) is a component of the large subunit of the eukaryotic ribosome. Lineage: Eukaryota; Viridiplantae; Streptophyta; Magnoliopsida; Ranunculales; Ranunculaceae. The record is from RNAcentral.
UGAACGACUCUCGGCAACGGAUAUCUCGGCUCUUGCAUCGAUGAAGAACGUAGCGAAAUGCGAUACUUGGUGUGAAUUGCAGAAUCCCGUGAACCAUCGAGUCUUUGAACGCAAGUUGCGCCCCGAGACCUUCUGGUCGAGGGCACGUCUGCCUGGGCGUCACGC